Molecule: long non-coding RNA, 1111 nt
Filed under: Macaca fascicularis (crab-eating macaque)
Lineage: Eukaryota; Metazoa; Chordata; Mammalia; Primates; Cercopithecidae
Description: lncRNA (ENSMFAG00000058369.1)
Source: RNAcentral
UUUUUUUUUUUUUUUUUAUUGAGACAGAGUCUCACUCUGUCACCAGGCUGGAGUGCAAGGGCGUGAUCAUGGCUCACUGCAACCUCUGUCUCCCAGGUUCAAGCGAUUCUCCUGCCACGUGGGCACGUGCCACCAUGCCCGGCUAAUUGUUGUGUUUUUAGUGGAGACGGGGUUUCACCAUGUUGGCCAGGAUGGUUUCUAUCUCUUGACCUCGUGAUCCACCCACCUUGGCCUCCCAAAGUGCUGGCGUGAGCCACUGCGCCCAGCCGACCCUGGAUUUUUAAUAAGAGUCUCUGCAAUGAUGAAUGCACAAAACGUAAGAGAACCCAAAUGUGAAGGACUGAAGGUGUAACCCUUGGUUAUUGGCAUGAUCUUGUGGCUAAUUACUAUUUCAUAUUUAAGCUUUAGUACCUAGGUUUUGUGGACUCUGACUCUAUUAUCACUUGGAAUAUUUUUAUAAUAAGACAGGUCCUAUAGCAAUUCCUAAUAGGCAGGAAUUAUUUUUGCUCUGUUCUCCAAAUAUUUGAAGUUGAAUUCAUCUUUGCUCAUAUGAAGAUCAUCAAAUGAAAAGAGAAACACAAGACCAAAUUAUUAUCAAAGCCUUCCUAACAAAUCUUCAGAUCUCUCCCAUCUUUCCUGAUUUAUUAAUGAAAAAAAGAGGCAGCUUCUGGUGGUGGAUAGAUUCGGUUUCAAUAUCCUUGAAUAUUCACUAGGAAUGAUACUAAUAAUCAACUCCAGAUAUCUUGAGACGAUGCAUAUUAUAGGCAUAAGGCUGAUAGGGUAUUGCUUUAAGUCUUAGUAUGAGGUCCAACUCCCUGAAAGUUUCCUAAUAUCUUUAUGAUAUUUUUCUUUGCUUUGCCUGAUCAUUUUGCACAAUAGCCCCUCUCACACUGUCAUUCUGGAUUUCACAUCUUUUCUUCACUGCCACCUGCUUUUCUGUUGAAAACAAAUAUUUCCUUUAAUCUCUCUUGUGUUCAGAGUACUAGUGUGUUUGACUCUGCCCUCUGCUUUUAAAUAGUAUUAUCCAAAAAUGUAUUUAGGUUCUCAUUUUCUCCAACUAAAUUAUUUUAAAGUUAUAAUUUAAUUAUUUCAAGGUUACAAUUUUAAAGUA